Molecule: transfer RNA, 85 nt
Filed under: Candidatus Endonucleibacter bathymodioli
Lineage: Bacteria; Pseudomonadati; Pseudomonadota; Gammaproteobacteria; Oceanospirillales; Endozoicomonadaceae
Also listed under: 3 other names
Description: tRNA-Leu
Rfam family: tRNA
About the family: Transfer RNA (tRNA) molecules are approximately 80 nucleotides in length. Their secondary structure includes four short double-helical elements and three loops (D, anti-codon, and T loops).
Source: RNAcentral
GCGGGAGUGGUGGAAUUGGUAGACACGCUGGAUUUAGGUUCCAGUGCCGCAAGGUGUGAGAGUUCGAGUCUCUCCUUCCGCACCA